AGAAUUAUGAAGGUAGACCUCAGCUUCCCUUCAACACCCGAUGUAUCUGGUGAAGCUAAGAAUCUCAUUAGCCAGCUUCUUGUGAAGGACUCUUCUAAAAGGCUGUCUCUUCAAAAGAUGAUGGAGCACCCUUGGAUAAUUAAGAAUGUCACAUGACACUAUAAUGUGAGUCUCGUCGCCAAUUUGCAUCGUUUAGUUAAAUCCCUGUUUGUUGUUUCUAACUCUUUUUCCUAUUACAUAAUAUGAGAUCGC
This is a long non-coding RNA of Solanum verrucosum, 252 nucleotides long. RefSeq lists it as uncharacterized. The transcript is spliced from 2 exons. The record is from RefSeq and is a predicted model, not a curated record. Lineage: Eukaryota; Viridiplantae; Streptophyta; Magnoliopsida; Solanales; Solanaceae.